Molecule: long non-coding RNA, 2490 nt
Organism: Sapajus apella (tufted capuchin)
Lineage: Eukaryota; Metazoa; Chordata; Mammalia; Primates; Cebidae
Exons: 2
Source: RefSeq, a predicted model, not a curated record
UUUAGUAGAGACAGGGUUUCACCUUGUUGGCCAGAGUGGUCUCCAUCUCUUGACCUGGUGAUCCACCCGCCUCAGCCUCCCAAAAUGCUGGGAUUACAGGUAUGAGCCACCUCGCCCAGCCAGAGAUAUACUUCUUAAAGUCCCUAGAUUAUACUGAUUUGAGAAAGAAAUCACUUAUUUGAUCCCAGAACCUAACCAGAAUUAGGUAUAGGGUUGGUGUCUAAUAAGCAUUGAUUACUUGAUUGAUAGACUGAUUUGAGUUUAUUUCUGAAAGUGUCUGGAAUAAGUGUUGAAAACACAUAAUGUAUUGGAUUGCGUUGCCAGGCGUUAGAGAAUGGAUGAAUGAUGAACAUAAGAUUUCCAAAUUUGCUUUUUAGACAGCUUAAAAUAGCAUGUAACAAAGUAAUGAAGACUUCUAUAAAAUGGUCUUGUAUUUUCAUUCUUUUUCUGUUUUACCAUAGAUAUUUUCUACUGGAUCUCUUAUUUUAGUUUAGGAUUCCCACCCCAUCUCCUAGCUUCCGCCCCUAAAUACAGCUUCUGAAAAUGAUUUUAGACUUCAGUUUGUAUCCAGGAAGUACCCCAAAACUCAUUCAUUCAUUCAUUCAGUUCGAAUUUAUUGAGUCUCAUCUUUGUGCCAGAUGCCAUGCUAGUGGUGAAAAGAUAGGAGAAAAACACAGACAUUGUUCUGUCCUUUCAUGAAGUUGUGUUGAGAUAUUAAUCAGUGUUGAUUAAAGAAUGUUUACUAUAUUGAAGGUACUAUUCUAAAUACUAGAGAAUCAGCAAUAAUAUGUCAUUUUAUCAAUACAUGGCAUUUUAGCAAUCAUUAUAAUAAAGUGGUCCUUAACAGUAAGUGGGUACCCCUGUAUGGCCCUGCUCCUCUUUUAGGAUGCUUAGUGACAACUUGGCAUACCCAUCAACUUAGACAGUCAUGAACUCUGGGAACAGAAGUGAUCACAUAAACAUUUCCAUAGUGUCUCAAUAAUCAAGCUGAACAGCUAAAGAGAGGUGCAUGUUUCCUUCCUGGCCAGCUGAGAACACAAUGCAGCUGUAGUCCUGGAGACUGCACACAUCUUCCAUUUACACAAGAGAACAAGAGAUGCCAUGACAAGUCUAGCUAAAAAAAGUCCAGUUCUCCCAACAUGAAGUUGAGUACCCAAGUCAGUCUCCCCAAGAACAUUGUAUGGUGUGGCAAAUUAGGAAGGAUAAGGAUUUCAUUUGCAAAAAAAAAAGUGUGAAUAAGAAAUUAGUUAUGUCGAUAUGACAAUAACAUUCAUUUGGUUAAUACAUUAACUGUUUGUGGGAAACUGGUUUUUAAAAAUUCUUUAUUUUUAACAUGCAAGUUUUGCUUCCUGAUUUACUUUUAUCUGAGAGUUCAACUCUGCUGGGUAAAAAAAUCACCAUUAUAUUUAAAGAGCUAAGAUUAUUAUAAAGGGAAGAAAACAUUUUUAUUAAAAUAUACAAUUGUGUUGGUAAGCCAAUCGUGUAGUUUAAUAAAAAUGAAGGAAAAAAGUGUGAUAAGAAUGUAGAAAUGGAACACAUGAAUUUGAGUCCAUCUUGGCUUCUUACUAUGUAUGUUUACUUUGGGCCAAGUUAUUUAAGUUCCCUGAUGCUACGUUAGAUUCAUAUCACAGAAUUUAGAAUAUGAAAGCAUUGAGUUGUUUAUCCCCAAAUUCAUUUUAUUUCAUCUUUCAUAAAUUAGUUAACAAUGUAUUAAAUAGACUACAUAGUCAUAAAAACAUCCACCCAUUUUUAACUUCAUAGAGGAAAAUUCGAGUGGGAAGGGGCAUGGGUGAGAAUUGUUUCAUGGUGUGUUGCAGUCUCAAAUCUAAAUAUUCACCUCCCACAAAUUUCUAUAAUUGUGUUUACAUAUUGGGAUGUAAUAUCUUUACAAUGUUUUAGGAGAACAGAUUAAAUAUUAUAAAUCAUAUAAUUGCUUCAAAGGGAGUUGUACUUUCCAGCAUCAAAACUGGGAAGAUUUCUUAAGAAUUCAGCAUCUUGAUGAGGCUACUAAUUACACAGAUAUAUGUAGUUCCACAUUCAAAUUAUAAGUAUAUGUUUAGGAAAUAAUGGCACCAUGAUCUUUACAUGCUUGGACUCAGUAAAGGCAAAGAAAGCUUGACAAAUAUGAUUCCACAGCAAAAGUCCACUUAAUGGAUUAGUAGUUGAAGAAAAUUCCGUGGACAGAAUAUGCUUAGGGUUUUUUAAUAACAGUAUUUGUUACAGUGCCUCACUAGUUCUUUUUAGGAAAUCCUUCCCUCUUGCUUCAGUCAAAUAUAUUUAAAGCUGAUUAAAGGAUGGGAUAGUAAAAUAUGAGAAUGGCUGAGUUAAAAGAAGGCACUGAAACCAGUCUUAUUUACAUCUAUAGCAGUUACUUGUUAAAUUAGCAGACGAUAACUAAGAUGCUACAACACCGGAGACGCCAAAUAAUUGCCAUUAGGAGACCAGGAGAGUUAGAAAAAAAAUGGUAAAAAAAAAAAAAAAAAGCAAAAA